GUCCACACGGUAAACGAUGGAUACUCGCUGUUGGCGAUAUACUGUCAGCGGCCAAGCGAAAGCAUUAAGUAUCCCACCUGGGGAGUACGCCGGCAACGGUGAAACUCAAAGGAAUUGACGGGGGCCCGCACAAGCGGAGGAACAUGUGGUUUAAUUCGAUGAUACGCGAGGAACCUUACCCGGGCUUAAAUUGCAGACGAAUUACUUGGAAACAGGUAAGCCGCAAGGCGUCUGUGAAGGUGCUGCAUGGUUGUCGU
Molecule: ribosomal RNA, 257 nt
Filed under: uncultured bacterium
Lineage: Bacteria
Description: partial 16S ribosomal RNA
Rfam family: Bacterial small subunit ribosomal RNA
Source: RNAcentral